CAGCAGCCGCGGUAAUACGUAGGUCCCGAGCGUUGUCCGGAUUUAUUGGGCGUAAAGCGAGCGCAGGCGGUUAGAUAAGUCUGAAGUUAAAGGCUGUGGCUUAACCAUAGUACGCUUUGGAAACUGUUUAACUUGAGUGCAAGAGGGGAGAGUGGAAUUCCAUGUGUAGCGGUGAAAUGCGUAGAUAUGUGGAGGAACACCGGUGGCGAAAGCGGCUCUCUGGCUUGUGACUGACGCUGAGGCUCGAAAGCGUGGGGCGCAAACAGGAUUAGAUACCCCUGUAGUCCCUGUCUCUUAUACA
Molecule: ribosomal RNA, 301 nt
Filed under: uncultured bacterium
Lineage: Bacteria
Description: partial 16S ribosomal RNA
Rfam family: Bacterial small subunit ribosomal RNA
Source: RNAcentral